GAUGAACGCUGGCGGCGUGCCUAAUACAUGCAAGUCGAGCGAACGGACGAGAAGCUUGCUUCUCUGAUGUUUGCGGCGGACGGGUGAGUAACACGUGGAUAACCUACCUAUAUGACUGGGAUAACUUCGGGAGACCGGAGCUAAUACCGGAUAUUAUUUUGAACCUCAUGGUUCAAAAGUGAAAGACGGUCUUGCCGUCACUUAUAGAUGGAUCCGCGCUGCAUUAGCUAGUUGGUAAGGUAACGGCUUACCAAGGCAACGAUGGAUAGCCGACCUGAGAGGGUGAUCGCCCACACGGGAACUGAGACACGGUCAAGACUCCUACGGGAGGAAGCAGUAGGGAACCUUCCGCAAUGGGCGAAGGCCUGACGGAGCAACGCCGCGUGAGUGAUGAAGGUCUUCGGAUCGUAAAACUCUGUUAUUAGGGAAGAACAUAUGUGUAAGUAACUGGGCACAUCUUGACGGUACCUAAUCAGAAAGCCACGGCUAACUACGUG
This 497-nucleotide ribosomal RNA is filed under the name uncultured bacterium. Its description in RNAcentral is "partial 16S ribosomal RNA". It matches the Rfam family "Bacterial small subunit ribosomal RNA", at positions 28 to 507 of the family's 1533-position model. The record is from RNAcentral.